Molecule: ribosomal RNA, 253 nt
Filed under: uncultured bacterium
Lineage: Bacteria
Description: partial 16S ribosomal RNA
Rfam family: Bacterial small subunit ribosomal RNA
Source: RNAcentral
UACAGAGACUGCGAGCGUUAUUCGGAUUCACUGGGCGUAAAGGGUGCGCAGGCGGCCGUGUGUGUGAGGCGUGAAAGCCCGGGGCUUAACCCCGGAAUUGCACCUCAAACUACACGGCUAGAGCAUUGGAGAGGGUAGCGGAAUUCACGGUGUAGCAGUGAAAUGCGUAGAUAUCAUUUGGAACGCCAAUGGUGAAAACAACUCGCUGGGGGUGUGCUGACGCUGAGACACGAAAGCCAGGGGAGCGAACGGG